UACGGGGGGGGCAAGCGUUGUUCGGAAUUACUGGGCGUAAAGGGCUCGUAGGCGGCCAACUAAGUCGGAUGUGAAAUCCCCAGGCUUAACCUGGGAACUGCAUCCGAUACUGGAUGGCUUGAAUCCGGGAGAGGGAUGCAGAAUUCCAGGUGUAGCGGUGAAAUGCGUAGAUAUCUGGAGGAAUACCGGUGGCGAAGGCGGCAUCCUGGACCGGCAUUGACGCUGAGGCGCGAAAGCUAGGGUAGCAAACGGG
This 253-nucleotide ribosomal RNA is filed under the name uncultured bacterium. RNAcentral's name for it is "partial 16S ribosomal RNA". It matches the Rfam family "Bacterial small subunit ribosomal RNA", at positions 524 to 776 of the family's 1533-position model. The record is from RNAcentral.